AGGAGAUCGUCUACAGGGAUUUGAAGCCGGAGAACAUCCUGCUGGAUAGGGAUGGUCACAUCAAGCUCACGGACUUUGGGUUUGCCAAGAAGCUGGUAGACAGACAGGGUCUCAUCCUGUCACCCAAGCUGAAGUGCCGUUGCACAAUCUUGUCUCACUACAGCCUCAAACUCCUCGGCUCAAGUGAUCCUCCCUCCUCAGCCUCUGAAGUAGCUGGGACUACAGGCAUGUGCCACCAUACCAGGCUAAUUUUUUUAUUUUUAAUUUUAGAGAUGUGAUCUCACUUUAUUGCUCAGGCUGGUCUUGAACUCUUGGCCCCAAGAUAUCGUCCCACCUCAGCUUCCCAAAGCACUGGAAUUAGAAGCAUGUGCCACUGUGCCUGGCCAAUUCUAUUUUUGAAUUUAACAUUUUUAGCACCAGACAGUUGUUAAAUCAGUAUCAUUUUAUUAUUUGUUUAUUUAUUUAGAUGGAGUCUCACUC
RNAcentral lists this long non-coding RNA (480 nucleotides) under Homo sapiens (human). RNAcentral's name for it is "non-protein coding lnc-TBL1Y-6:2". The record is from RNAcentral. Lineage: Eukaryota; Metazoa; Chordata; Mammalia; Primates; Hominidae.